CCUACGGGAGGCAGCAGUGGGGAAUUUUGGACAAUGGGGGCAACCCUGAUCCAGCAACGCCGCGUGAAUGAAGAAGGCCUUAGGGUUGUAAAGUUCUUUUAUUUGGGAGCAAAGUUUUGAUUGGAUAAUAAUCAAAAUGUGAGAGUACUAAAUGAAUAAGCACCGGCUAACUACGUGCCAGCAGCCGCGGUAAUACGUAGGGUGCGAACGUUAAUCGGAAUUAUUGGGCGUAAAGCGAGUGUAGGCUGUUAUAUAAGUUUAAUGUGAAAUCCCUGAGCUUAACUUAGGAACUGCAUUGAAUACUGUAUAGCUGGAGUUAGUCAGAGGGAGGUAGAAUUCCAAGUGUAGCGGUGGAAUGCGUAGAUAUUUGGAGGAACACCAGUGGCGAAGGCGGCCUCCUGGGAUAUAACUGACGCUGAGACUCGAAAGCAUGGGUAGCAAACAGGAUUAGAUACCCCGGUAGUC
Molecule: ribosomal RNA, 465 nt
Filed under: uncultured bacterium
Lineage: Bacteria
Description: bacterial SSU rRNA
Rfam family: Bacterial small subunit ribosomal RNA
Source: RNAcentral